Long non-coding RNA from Rhineura floridana, 841 nucleotides. RefSeq lists it as uncharacterized. The transcript is spliced from 4 exons. The record is from RefSeq and is a predicted model, not a curated record. Lineage: Eukaryota; Metazoa; Chordata; Lepidosauria; Squamata; Rhineuridae.
AUAAACUUACCCUCUUCUCACUCUGCUGCUUAACUCACCUUGACACUUUGUCAGCUGGGGACUCCCUCUAGGUUAGUUGGUCCUAAGGGCAGAGAAGACUUUACAGGCAUGUUCUGAACAAGGCAGCCCUUAGAAUUUUUAACACUCUAGCAGUUUUAUGAUUCUCCCCCCUCCAAAUUUAUUAUCUUGAGAAGUUGGAAGAAAGCAUAAAAAAGUGAAGUGAUGUCAAGUCCAACCAGAAGCCACAUUUUUCUUCUUGUAUCUGCAGGAGCUUCCAGCGCUUGGUUCAGCUAUGGGAAUACCAUUUGGACAUCUUACAGCAUCCAAUUAUACUUGUAAGGUAGUGGCUUAGUGUAACAUUCUUGCUACAAAGAGUGUGUGAUCAGAAUUAAACAUCUCAGAUUUUUGAUCUGGAAAUGGAAUUAAACCUGCCACCUCUGUUAUCAUUUGACAAGAAUCAACAGCUGAAAAACAACAAUAUUUUGACAAGGGUCUAACAGUUCUCUGAAACUCAGAUCUCGGCUGGUAGAAUCAAAUGGGCCAUAUGUCCUAGAAGUGUAAUAAUUGUGGUCCAUAUCCUCCUGAAAGAAAAAGCCAAACACAGAUUUAAAAUGAUUGUAUUUUUAAAAAACUGUUUAAAAAUGUAAGUAUUAUACAUUUCCUGCAGAAACCAGUAGUUUUAUUUCCUUGCCCCAUAAAUUAAUGUGACUGAAGUAAAAAAAUAGACCAUUUUAUUAUGUGUACACUAAAACAGGAAAGCAAAGCAAAGCACCAACUCAGCUUGUAAUAAAUCUCAUUUUACAAAUGCAAUUUUUGCAUACUAUGAUCUCAAAUAAGCAGU